Molecule: ribosomal RNA, 487 nt
Filed under: uncultured bacterium
Lineage: Bacteria
Description: bacterial SSU rRNA
Rfam family: Bacterial small subunit ribosomal RNA
Source: RNAcentral
GACGAACGCUGGCGGCGUGCUUAACACAUGCAAGUCGAACGGUGAAGGAAGAGCUUGCUCUUCCGGAUCAGUGGCGAACGGGUGAGUAACACGUGGGCAACCUGCCCCUGACUCUGGGAUAACUCCUCGAAAGAGGUGCUAAUACCGGAUACGACCACUUCGGACAUCCGAUGGUGGUGGAAAGUUUUUCGGUCAGGGAUGGGCCCGCGGCCUAUCAGCUAGUUGGUGGGGUAAUGGCCUACCAAGGCGACGACGGGUAGCCGGCCUGAGAGGGCGACCGGCCACACUGGGACUGAGACACGGCCCAGACUCCUACGGGAGGCAGCAGUGGGGAAUAUUGCGCAAUGGGCGAAAGCCUGACGCAGCGACGCCGCGUGAGGGGAUGAAGGCCUUCGGUUGGUAAACCUCUUUCUAGCAGGACGAAGCGAAAGUGACGGUACCUGCAGAAGAAGACACCGGCUAACUACGUGCCAGCAGCCGCGGUAAU